AAAAUCAAUAUUUAUACCAAUAAAAACAAUAUUCAAUGAUCUUAUUACAGUGUUGAAUAGGUAACCUUUUAGAAUAAGUUUAUUUAAAGCAGCGACAAGUUUACAUGGAACAUUUCUAAAUUUCCGGGUACGGUUAACAACAUUUCCGUAAAAAUGAGGAUGUGCUAUCCCGUUUGAAAUAAGUUUUCUACAGGUACAACCAAACUUCAUGUUUGUAACCUCAUGUCAUUGAUAAAGUUUAAGAUGAUAAUGUCAAGUUGUAUGUUGAACUGAAAUAAAUAAUAUGCACUAAG
RNAcentral lists this long non-coding RNA (293 nucleotides) under Mytilus galloprovincialis (Mediterranean mussel). Lineage: Eukaryota; Metazoa; Mollusca; Bivalvia; Mytilida; Mytilidae. The record is from RNAcentral.